ACUGCAGGGAGGAUGAGAAAAGUGGGAACAGGUGUGAAGAUGGAUGAGGCAGUCAGGUGAUGGAGGAAGGAGGGAAAGUCUGAGGGCAUCUGGUGUGUCUCUCUGUCACUACAUGGACUUGAGACAAAGAAAUCUGUCCACCUGUAACUGAUGAAGACUUCCAUGUCUUCUGGCUCUGCCCACAUGUCCAACAGGUCUGGUUGGAGUCUCGGUCUCAGCAUCCCCUCAUCCCUCAUCACUGCUUUACUUGUUCAAAAUGUCCACAUCACAAACACCUACAAACAUGUCAGACCUGCUGCUACCAGACUCUUCAGUGUCCUCUGCAUGUAAAUGUGUAGUUGGGUGGUGUCAGCAGUGAGGGGGAAACAGCAGGACAUGUUGAGGACAGCUACAGUCCACUGACUCUGUGUGUUUGCAUAUGUGUCCUGCCUCUGUGCUCCCAGCCGUUAAGAGGCCAGUGUUGAUCAGUGGCUGUCCAGGCCUUUCAGAGCCACUGACCUGCCGGCAGCACAAUGAUGAUGUCCCUGAUCCUACUGCUGCUCACCCUGGGGCUCCUUGUUCAGGAUUCAUCAGGAGAAAUCAUCCUGACUCAGUCUCCUCAGACUCAGUCUGUUGUUCCGGGACAGACUGUCUCCAUCAGCUGUAGAGCCAGUUCAAGUAUGGGUAGCUACCUGCACUGGUACCUUCAGAAACCUGGAGAAGCUCCUAAACUUCUAGUUUAUUAUGCUACAACUCGUUACUCUGGAGUUCCUGAUCGUUUUAGUGGAAGUGGAUCUGGGAUUGACUUCACUCUGACCAUCAGUGGAAUUCAGGGUGAAGAUUCAGGAGUUUAUUACUGUCUACAGUGUGGUUACAGCUUCCCGUUCACACAGUGAAACAACAUCGUACAAAAACCUCCUCAGCUGGAAGAACUGAUCUGAAUCAGCAGCAGCACAGAAAUGAAAACACUAAGGCUUUCAGUAAAAUACACUUUAGACAAUAACAGGGAUAGAAGGUAACUGUCAGUAUAAAAGGAAUAUGUGUAUUUCUUUCUAUAAUAAUAUUGUUGCCGUUUAUUCCAAAUUUUUUGAAAGUC
Scatophagus argus is the source of this 1075-nucleotide non-coding RNA. The record is from the annotation of a RefSeq genome assembly. NCBI's taxonomy places the organism in Eukaryota, Metazoa, Chordata, Actinopteri, Scatophagidae.